RNAcentral lists this ribosomal RNA (163 nucleotides) under Ramularia hydrangeae-macrophyllae. RNAcentral's name for it is "partial 18S ribosomal RNA". It matches the Rfam family "Eukaryotic small subunit ribosomal RNA", at positions 1671 to 1831 of the family's 1831-position model. The record is from RNAcentral. Lineage: Eukaryota; Fungi; Ascomycota; Dothideomycetes; Mycosphaerellales; Mycosphaerellaceae.
GCCCGUCGCUACUACCGAUUGAAUGGCUCAGUGAGGCCUUCGGACUGGCUCAGGGAGGUCGGCAACGACCACCCAGAGCCGGAAAGUUGGUCAAACUCGGUCAUUUAGAGGAAGUAAAAGUCGUAACAAGGUCUCCGUAGGUGAACCUGCGGAGGGAUCAUUA